GCCUGGGACCCGGCCCCCCCACCCUCCCCUACCCUCCCCUCCCACAGGGGAGGCCCAAGGAGCCAGCUGGCUGCGUGCAGAAGGUCCAGGAGAAGGGCCGGGGGACGUGGCAGGUGCCAUGAGCUGGGCGGAGGCUGGCGCACCGGGUACUUGAAUUCUGUCAUCUUCUCUGCACUGUGUCCGCUCAGCCUGGAGUGCCGUGUGGUGGCCUGACUUCGUGUUUGGCUUGGCUGUCUGCCUGCCCCCAAAUGUGGAUGAAGUGUAGAUGGGUUAUCUUUAUGGAAAUAUCUUUGCUGCAAGUGGAGAAAGGCCUACAGCCCAUUAACCAAGUGAAACUCAGAGAAAGCCUCUGCCCGCCUCUGCCAGCGGUGACUCCUGAGCGCGGGGCCGAGCGCCAGCCGUCUUCUGCUUUAACUACUGUCUCCGAGCGUCGCUGCUGCACGAUUCGUCAUUCUGUCAGCCAGCCGGCUCCAUGCGCCGUCACGGAGCGUUCAGGGCUUGGUGCAAGAUGUUUCUAAAAUGGCAAAGGUUUUUUGUGUUUGUUUGUUUCUUUCUUUCUUUGAAAAGAAAAGUCACGCAGUAUCUAAAGCGUUUGUUUUGGACGACCUGCCUGCGUUCUGAUCAGCCACGUCCAUGGUUAGCGUUUUGCACGUGAUUAUGAUUUUUAUGUCAAAAGAAGCCAAAACUUGCAAUACUAUUUUUAGCAGACAAAAAGAACUAUGUAUAAAUAUUUUUGACUUGAACAUUUGGAUGGCACUGGGUGCAAAUAGAACAUUCAUCCUUUGGACAGAAUGUUUGGAAAAAAGACUUUUAAAAAGGAGACGGUUGUUUCAGAGAAUCUGUUUAGGGAUUAAAGUAGUACUGUAACUCAUGACUGUUAAAAAAUAAAUAAAAUAAAUUGUUCCUGUGCUGUAAAGGAAGGUUUCACAGUACCACUGAGUUAGGUUUCAGCCGCAGAAGAUGCUAGCUUUUUUGGGUUUGGUUUUGUUUUGUUUAAGAAGGAGGAAGCCUUUGUUUAGUUCUGUCCUCCCGUUUAUGUGCCCGGUAGAGUCAAGACUGUUACUUUUUAGCCAUGGCUGACAUUGUAUCAAUAACUAAAUAGAAACAUCCACAAGCGACCAGGGAAACCCCGAGGGCUUCAAGCGUGCUCAGAGCCAUUUCAUAAGGCGGAAAUCCAUUACGGACAAACAAAAGGAUGUGAUCAUUCAUUGUAAAGCGCUUUGUAAAAUUUACAUUUACAAAAUAAUAAAGUCAGUUCAAACCGAG
Long non-coding RNA from Galeopterus variegatus (Sunda flying lemur), 1266 nucleotides. RefSeq lists it as uncharacterized. The record is from RefSeq and is a predicted model, not a curated record. The transcript has 2 exons. NCBI's taxonomy places the organism in Eukaryota, Metazoa, Chordata, Mammalia, Dermoptera, Cynocephalidae.